Long non-coding RNA from Heterocephalus glaber (naked mole-rat), 357 nucleotides. Lineage: Eukaryota; Metazoa; Chordata; Mammalia; Rodentia; Bathyergidae. The record is from Ensembl.
GGAGGAUGGACCUGUCUCGGAAUUGGAUCAAACUCCGGACCUUCCUUGAAAGUUAUUUGGAUAGAUGAUAUUGGCACAUUGUUUAAAAUUCAAGAACUGAAGAGCACAGAGUGAAGAAUAAAUCUCCUUUUCUUAUCACCCAUCUCUGUCUCCUACUGUUGCUUGUUUCUUAUGUAUCCUUUUAAAAACAGCACAAUAGUGCAUGCAUGCUACUGAGCACACUGGGCCAAAGGACAUGUACAUCGAAAACAUUGACAGAGGGUGUGGAACUUCCUCAUAUCAAUAUGCACCCUCAUAAUGAGGAAAAGAAUGGGAGAAGAGGGAGUGGGAAGUAGAAGAGGAGGGUGGAGCAGCAGG